UCUAAAGAGUCCAAAGGUUUAAUAAGCUUAUUUAUCUGGUAGGUGGGUGAGCAAGGAAAGGGUGCCAAAUGGUCAUUAAAUGAAUCAGAAUAAUUUGGCUGGUUUGUUUCAUGAAGCAUUGGAUGUGAUGCUUCUCCCAGAGAAAAGAAAUGAAAACAUGACAAAAAAUAAAAAAAGAAAGAAAAGCUCAUUUAUCCUACAGCUUUGUGUAGAACAAAGAAUGUCACCAGGCUAAUAAGCACAAUAUAAUGCAUCCUCCUACCCUUCCCUCAUUCUGCCCUGUGUUUAUAAAGGGAAACCUUGGAGGCUUUGCUGGUCAUUUUUGCUCUGUACAAAUGCUUUAGCUAUUUCUCCACAACACAAAUUUUUACCUGAGAUAUCUUGACUUCAAGAUUGGAGUUUGGAUUAAUGUCCUGUGCAGUACUGUCAGCUGUUUGGGGAGAGAUCAAGCUACAGCUGCUAUAAAAUCAAAUUGCCCAAUUGUUCAGCAAAAAGUGGACACUGGGAGAACAUAGCGACAUUACUUUUGAGACAGGGUUGACUUCACCUGAUCUCCAGGUGCAGUUCAGGACACUGACUGUGAUGUUUAAAUCCUUAGGUGCUAAGGCCUCAGAUGCAAAGUUCACUUGGCAUGACUAUUUCCACUAGCACCACUUUUUCUUGACCACAGAGAAUGCUGUGAAGCGUGUACCUCCAGAGCUGAAACUGUGGAGCCUGGUCACGCAAGCACAUUGCUGAGGUAACCCACAGUAAUACGAUAAAAAGAAUGUGAUUUAAAGCUGUUUUUCUGCAUGGAUGGUGAAUUGGUUUAGGAGGGAAUAUUAUAUGAACACAGAGAACAAGCUUUCUUGUUUUUAGCCCACAGAUCCUUAGGCCAAGGAUCUCACAGGUCAGACUCCAGCUAGGGUUUCUUGUCAGCCCUCUAGAGAAUAGGCACUAACUUCUCCUAUGUGGAUUCUCUGGUGUUUACUAAUGGCUAGGCAGCAGCCUUGUUCUCUGAGCGGACACAGAUAAGCUACAGCUGUGCUAAUACAUAUGCUGCGGCUGUUUGCUGCUUCUGAGGCCAAUAGCAAAGAAAACUGCCAGGCCCCUACCAUUAACCUCUCCAAAACAAAGUGACUGCAUCAGCAAUCCGGACUGGUCCCUCCUGGCCUGCGCUAACUCCCAAACCAACCCCUCUGAGGAACGCUGCUUUUCUAACAGUGUAACAGUAUGUAUGUACAGAGCAGUUGAUAAGGGCAAAGCAAGACCUACAUCUCUAGAACAGCCUACAACUCCCUGCACCAGGACCUCAUCCUUCCACCAGGAACUGUAGCUUCCAGGUACCAUGAGAAAUACAUCUGACAGGACUAACAACAUCUCUAAAAUCCAGAGGACCAGAAGGACAAGGAGAGAACAUUUCUGAUAGCAGGACAUGGGAAACAGCAGAAGGAGAGGGAGGAUGUGCUCUUCUAGACAUCAGACUCAUUCAUCCUCCAUGCUAAACAGUAGAAAAGGAGGGAAACUUCUGGAAAGAGAUUAUUCCAAGGAAGACUGGAUCAAAUUGCAUAUGUAAAAAGGCUUUCAGCACCAGAUGAGACAGGUUUAAAGGAUCACAACUUUGGACUUAGGCAAGAUGUAAGUACUAAAAGCCUUUCAUAGCUCUAUUCCCCAGUCAUUUGUAGUAAUUAGCUGUCUAUUCUCUAGGGAAAAUGAAGAGCAGAAGAGGAUAUAUGUAGAAGGUCAGCGGUUUCCUCUUAAUCACUCUCAGUAUGGCAUGUAGAUGUAAGAAAAGCUAAGCACCAUGCCUUGUCUUCCUUUCCCUGAAAGCUAAUCCCAUCUGCAGACUCUCCUGGUCUCUACUGCACUUCCAGAGUUUUGCUGGGACCCCGUCCCAGGGGAAGUCCCCUGCUGUUCUAAAUAUAUAUCUCUCUUACUGCCUGCCAAGUGCUUCCAGUACACUCAUUCUCUGCAAUAGACAUAUGGAAGGGACAUAUCUAACAUAGACACAUGGAGCUUCACACAUGAGUCACCUGGAGAACAUCAAUACUACAGAAGAAAUGGCUGCAGCCACAAGAAAGCACGCUCCCCUCUGAGGGGACCUUUACGCAGAACAGAAUGCCUUCGCUCUGGAGCAGCUGUAUUGUAUUCCAUCAUGUUGAACAACUUGUGCAAAAGGGAAAAAGGGAUGGUGAAGCUCAACAUUUGUUCAAAUCAAUCUUCUACUCUUUCCUGUUGGAGAUAUUCAUUUAACCUGAAAAGAAAAAAAACCCAAAAUCAUGAUGACAGUUUUCAAAUGUUUAUUUCUAAUGCUUAUAGCUAUUGGCCUUCCUUGUCCAGUAUAUCCCAAGGACUUCAUUUUAAUCCAAAGAGCUACAAACUUUCAGAAAUUAUUCAACCAAGGCAGUUCCAGAUUGAGUUAUUAUCAGUGGGUAAGGCAAGUUGUCCUUUCAAAAUUGUUUUAAUCAAGGUACCCUAGACUGAACGUUAAUGCAAAUACUUCUGUGCAAGUAUGACUACUAUUACUUUAGAAUAGUCUCAAGUAAAGGCAAUGAAAUGCCUUUCCAACUACUUUUUCAGGCCUUAAGUAAGUAAACUUUUCUACAUUGUGAAUGCAGGUAAGUGAGGAAUGAGGAGGGGAAAAAAUAGGAAUCAAUUUCCUAAAUAAAAAAUAAGAAGGAAGCUUGCAUUGUUUCAGGUUAUUUUAGAGGACUGCUCUGUAUUAAAGCACUGGGAAUCAUAUCAAGCAGAUAAAUCAUGCAGCCCAAGUUGAUUAGAAAGUGUUUUAAUGCAGUAAAAAUUCAUUACAUACUAAAGAACAUACAGUUUUUAUGGGGUUCUGGAUUGAGGUGGAAGAAAAUACCAGUCAUUGAACCUGUUAUUUAAAUGAUUUUACUAUAAUAUUAAUCUUAUUCUAAUUUAUAGUGUGAUAUUCCUUCAGAUGUGAUAAUGGCUUGCAGAUAUUUUAACACCAUCACUUUUAGAUGACUGCAUCAAACUGCCAUUAAUUACAUUAAGAUGUUAUUUUUGUUAAAGGGACUUUUUAGAAAGGCUUUGUAAGUCGCAUGAAAACUAAAAUAUGUCAAGAAUAAUCAAGAGCUCUCUUUGUAACAGCUGAAUUCACAGCUGGAAGGAAAGGCUGUAAAUGAGUCUAGUUUUACUUCCCGUACAUCUGUGAGCAGCAUCAAUGUUUCAGUAGAGCACAUUUACUUUUUCCAUCAUUGGUGAAGUCCAGGACAUUGAUGAGUGUCCUGGAAUGGCAACUGAAGUUGUGCUACAUGGCAGAUCACUAGAUCUAAAGGGGAGAUCCAUGGAAGCCUUACAUUCAAAUCUACACUCAAAUAAACAAACUUUCCAUCCUUCCCCUGGAAAACUGAAUGUGGAAGAAUACUGUUGCUCUUAGUCCUUGAUACUGCCAGAGAAGGCUCUCUUCCAUCUGAAACUGGAAUGAUAACUUAAAAAAUAAUUCAUCAGCAAAAAAUGUAUUUCCAUUAGAUAAAAAAAGGUUUUGUGGUAGUUUCAAAUUGGUUUAAGUUUAAAGUUACAUUUUUUGCUAUAAUUAAUCUGUAACAACUUGGAAAGGAAAAAAGAUUUGAAACCAAAUGUGAGACUCUUAUUUUGAUAGCUUCAGUGUUGCUUUUUCAUUAUUUUCCUAUGAAACUAGAAGUUGGCAAAAAGCGAUACUUUCCUAAGAAACUUUGGUUUCCACAAGUCACCGUGGAAGGUUCAGGUAAGCUUUUCUUGAAACCUCUUAGUCUUCCUCAUAGAUUGUGUUGCAAUGCCUGUGUCAGGACAUACAUGCAACCAGAAUUGUAACCUGUCUCCUCAAAAUCCACCACCAGUGAAGAGCAGAGAGAGAUCUGUCUCCCCUGAUCUGACAGUCGAUGCCCCUAGUCCCUGAACUUAUCACUGCAGCUUGGUGGGGAAAGGGACAUUGUGAAAACUGCUGUUUUGUAGAAAGAGAUGCUCCCUUUCCCAGGAGCACUGAACUUAAUGUCUUCUAAAUCAUUUUGAAAGCCUUAUUCUUAAUCUCAAUAAGACUUCUAUUACUAGUCCUAUUAUUCCAGCAAAGUAAGUGGGAAAGUACUUGUUUAAAAUUGCACAUUGGUUACUCCAUUACAGAAAUAAAACUGAAGGAUAUAUUCAAACUUGCUCUUUCUGUUAUUUGGCAUGCUCUCAUUUAUCACGUUCAAUGAUCUGGAGGAAGGUACAUGCUUCUGAUGAGAACCAGUUUCAUCAGAUACUCCUUUAACCUUUAUCCUUUUUGGAAAAUAAAUGUGUUCAGGCAAUGACACUACCAGGUGGCACAGGUUGAUCAGCAGUCCAUUCUGUGCUGAUAAUUUUCAAGGGUUACUGAGUCAGUGGUGGGUCUUUGUGACUGUAUUGGAUUUGCAUGGAAAGGUUUUGGUAGUGGGGGGCUACAGGGUUGGCAUCUGUGAGAAGCUGCCAGAAGCUUCCCCUAUGCCUAGUAGAUCCAAUACCAACAGGCUCCAAGAUGGAACUGCUGCUGGCCGUGGCCAAGCCCAUCAGCAAUGGUGGAAGGCCUCCUAUGAUAACCAUUUAAGAAAGGAAAAAAAAAAACCCAACCAUGAACAGCAAUUGCAACCAAAGAGAGAAGUGAAUCUAUGUGAGGGUAACAGCCCUGCAGACACCCAGGUCAGUGCAGAAGGAGGCAGGAGGUGCUCCAGGCUCUGCAGCCUCUGGCAAAGGCUGUGGUGAGUCAGGCUGUCCCCCUGCAGCCCACGGAGGUCCACAGUAGAGCAGAUAUUCACCUGCAGCCCAUGGAGGCAUACAGUGGAGAAGAUAUCCAUCUGCAUCCCGUGGAGGACCUUAUGCUAGAGCAGGUGGGUGCCCAAAGGAGGUGACUGUGACCCUUUUGGAAGCCCGCACUGGAGCAGGCUCCUGGCAGGACCUGUGGCCCCAUGGAGAGAGGAGCCCAGGCUGGAGCAGGUUUGCUGGCAGGACUUGUGACCCCGUGGGGAACCCACACUGGAGCAGCCUGCUCCUGAGGGGCUGCACCCCAUGGAAGGGACACACACUGGAGCAGUUCGUGAAGAACUGCAGCCCGUGGGAAGGACUCACAUUGCAGAAGUUCAUGGAGGACUCUCUCCCAUGGGAGGGACUCCAUGCUGGAGCAGGGGAAGAGUGGGAGAAGUCCUCCCUCUGAGGAGGAAGAAGCGGCAGAGACAGUGUGUGAUGAACUGACCCCAACCCCCAUUGCCUGUCCCCCUGCGUUGUUUGGGGGAGGUAGAGAAUUUGGGAGUAAAGCUGAGCCCAGGAUGAAGCGAGGGGUGAGGGGAAGGUGUUUUCAAGAUUUGGUUUUAUUUCUCAUUACCCUGCUUUGAUUGACUGGUAAUAAAUUAUAUUAUUUUUUUCCCCAAGUAGAGUCUAUUCUGCCCGUGAGGGUGAUUGCU
Falco peregrinus (peregrine falcon) is the source of this 5393-nucleotide long non-coding RNA. RefSeq lists it as uncharacterized. NCBI's taxonomy places the organism in Eukaryota, Metazoa, Chordata, Aves, Falconiformes, Falconidae. The record is from RefSeq and is a predicted model, not a curated record. The transcript has 4 exons.